This 491-nucleotide ribosomal RNA is filed under the name uncultured bacterium. Its description in RNAcentral is "partial 16S ribosomal RNA". It matches the Rfam family "Bacterial small subunit ribosomal RNA", at positions 28 to 507 of the family's 1533-position model. The record is from RNAcentral.
GAUGAACGCUGGCUACAGGCUUAACACAUGCAAGUCGAGGGGAAACGACGGGGAAGCUUGCUUCCCCGGGCGUCGACCGGCGCACGGGUGAGUAACGCGUAUCCAACCUGCCUCUGACUGAGGGAUAACCCGUCGAAAGUCGGCCUAAUACCUCAUGGCAUCGUCUGCGGGCAUCCAACGACGAUUAAAGAUUUCAUCGGUCAGAGAUGGGGAUGCGUCUGAUUAGCUUGUUGGCGGGGUAACGGCCCACCAAGGCGACGAUCAGUAGGGGUUCUGAGAGGAAGGCCCCCCACAUUGGAACUGAGACACGGUCCAAACUCCUACGGGAGGCAGCAGUGAGGAAUAUUGGUCAAUGGGCGAGAGCCUGAACCAGCCAAGUAGCGUGCAGGAUGACGGCCCUAUGGGUUGUAAACUGCUUUUAUGCGGGGAUAAAGUGAGGGACGUGUCCUUCAUUGCAGGUACCGCAUGAAUAAGGACCGGCUAAUUCCGUG